This is a non-coding RNA of Salmo salar (Atlantic salmon), 73 nucleotides long. Lineage: Eukaryota; Metazoa; Chordata; Actinopteri; Salmoniformes; Salmonidae. The record is from Rfam.
CCCCCUGUAGCUCAGUUGGUAGAGCAUGGUGUUUGCAACGCCAGGGUUGUGGGUUCGAUUCCCACGGGGGGGC